Molecule: long non-coding RNA, 1454 nt
Organism: Equus quagga
Lineage: Eukaryota; Metazoa; Chordata; Mammalia; Perissodactyla; Equidae
Exons: 2
Source: RefSeq, a predicted model, not a curated record
UCUUCAAACGCAUUAGAAAGUCUACUUAUUUCUUUCCUUUUUUUUUCAGUGAUCUCCUUCCUGUAACCCUCUCUCCUUUAGCCUCUGUCCUUUGAAUAGACCCAUAAGUCUCCACGUCUUUUUCUUUUAAGAAACUUUACAUCUUCUUAGUCUGUCUGUUAGUAUCUUUCUGUUAAUUACAUUAUUUUCCCCAAUGAGACACACAAUAAAUAGUCAAUCCCUUUCAUCUGAGCUGUCCCAGAAUUAGUGGAAGUCCCAGGAUGCUUGUGCCGGUCUACAGACGGGAAGCCCUGGACUUAAUAAGUGAAAUCCAAGUACCUUUCCUUUACAUUGUGGUUGUAGUAGAGGCUGCCGGUGCCCUGCCCUGAUCCCCAGGUAUUGUAAGUGUUGCUGCUAACAGCUCAAACUUACACCCUUCUCCAGAGAACUGUUCUUGGCCAAUGGGAGCCACCUGACUGGAAAUGCCUAGGAGGCUAUAUUUCCCCUCAAGGGCAUCAUUGUGCACUGAAUGACUGACCGAUAAAAGGAUACAAAAUCUGAGCCCCUUUGUUUCAAAGGGGACAAAUCUGUGGUGUCAUUCACACUCCAGAACUUCCCAUGGGAUCAGGCUGAAGUUAGACUUCAACUGAAACUUCAUCUUUGUUUCGCCUCUUCCCCUGCUCUAUCCCGCUUCCCUUCCCUUCUCCUGAAAGCACAUUGGCACUGUGUCUCUCAUAUGAGAAUCCCUGCCUCCGUCUCUGCUUCCGGGAACACAACGUAAGACAGUGGUGAACAUUAGACAUUUUUUGACUUCCUAGCAUUCAUUCUUCCUUCCUAAUAGCACCAGAUAGGGGUGUGGGGGAGAUUGACCUCCCUGCCACUCCAUUGUGGACGGUCUUGACGUGACUGUAAAUCUGGGAAGCUGAAGGGGUUUGGGGAGGCUCCUUCCAGUAGACCUCUCCUUUCACCGCCUUGUACAGCAGGCCCAGGCAUGUGACCUAGACUCAGCCAAUUUGACGUUCUCUCCUGGGAUUAUGAAUCUUGAGUGAGUAAUACAAAGAUAGAAUGGCUCAUUGAAGUUCGUUGACCUCAUCACAGGCUCCUGCUAGCCUAUUUCUCCUUCUCAGCCUUUCUGUGCUUCCUGCCUCUUAGCUUCCAAAGCCUUGCUUCCAACCCCUUUCCAAACUACCUGGUAGGCUUUUGUGAGAGCUCCAAAUCCUUCCAAUAAUUUCCCUUUUGUAUAAGGUCUCUCACUUGGGUUCUCUUGCUUUUAUCCAAAAGAAUCCUAAGUGAUAACAGUUAUCUUACUUUCUUUUGUCUAAGACCAGCAUGAAAAAAGAUCUGGGACCGGUCACUAAUUCAGAAGAGGGUAGACACAGGGCUUCCGAGCUUGGCGAGUAAGAGCCUACCUGGACAGCUCUCCUUGCUGCAGAGGGGAGAGUGAUUCAACUGCGUGAAGACAGCUGUACUUCCGA